RNAcentral lists this ribosomal RNA (281 nucleotides) under uncultured bacterium. RNAcentral describes it as "partial 16S ribosomal RNA". It matches the Rfam family "Bacterial small subunit ribosomal RNA", at positions 337 to 636 of the family's 1533-position model. The record is from RNAcentral.
ACCUACGGGGCGCAGCAGUGGGGAAUAUUGGACAAUGGGGGAAACCCUGAUCCAGCGACGCCGCGUGAGUGAAGAAGUAUUUCGGUACGUAAAGCUCUAUCAGCAGGAAAGAAAAUGACGGUACCCGCAGCAUAAGCAUCGGCUAACUCCGUGCCAGCAGCCGCGGUAAUACGGCGGAUGCGCGCGUUAUCCGGAUUUAUUGGGUUUAAAGGGUGCGUAGGCGGAUUUUUAAGUCAGCGGUAAAAUGUCCGGGCUCAACCCGGGCCGGCCGUUGCAACUGG